CGUUCGAGAAAGAGAGCAGGCAAAAGAAAGGUGAAACCCUAGCUUCAAGAAAUCAAGAAUCAAAGCCAAAUACAUAAGAUAAUCCGGUGCAUGAACCCUCCUUGCGAAAAUCUAACCCUAAUUUGUUAGUGGCGUGAAGGAGGAAGGUUCCAAUACUAGGAAAUCGGAAGGUUCACAAGAUCGAGGUAAAACUCCACUUUAGGCGAAUUGGAGAUAUGGAGCGAGCACGUGUCCAUGCUUUAUUAUACCAAGCGCUUCCGCUAGAUAUAUGCACACUUUUUGGGUCCGUGUCUUGUUAUUUUGUUUAAUCUUGUUAGAAGUCAUACACUUAAAAACUUGUUGUCUUCGUUUUGGG
Molecule: long non-coding RNA, 355 nt
Organism: Helianthus annuus (common sunflower)
Lineage: Eukaryota; Viridiplantae; Streptophyta; Magnoliopsida; Asterales; Asteraceae
Exons: 3
Source: RefSeq, a predicted model, not a curated record